This 469-nucleotide ribosomal RNA is filed under the name uncultured bacterium. RNAcentral describes it as "partial 16S ribosomal RNA". It matches the Rfam family "Bacterial small subunit ribosomal RNA", at positions 28 to 507 of the family's 1533-position model. The record is from RNAcentral.
GACGAACGCUGGCGGCGUGCUUAACACAUGCCAGUCGAACGGAAAGGCCCUGCUUUUGUGGGGUGCUCGAGUGGCGAACGGGUGAGUAACACGUGAGUAACCUGCCCUUGACUUUGGGAUAACUUCAGGAAACUGGGGCUAAUACCGGAUAGGAGCUCCUGCUGCAUGGUGGGGGUUGGAAAGUUUCGGCGGUUGGGGAUGGACUCGCGGCUUAUCAGCUUGUUGGUGGGGUAGUGGCUUACCAAGGCUUUGACGGGUAGCCGGCCUGAGAGGGUGACCGGCCACAUUGGGACUGAGAUACGGCCCAGACUCCUACGGGAGGCAGCAGUGGGGAAUAUUGCACAAAUGGGCGGAAGCCUGAUGCAGCAACGCCGCGUGCGGGAUGACGGCCUUCGGGUUGUAAACCGCUUUCGCCUGUGACGAAGCGUGAGUGACGGUAAUGGGUAAAGAAGCACCGGCUAACUACGUG